This 497-nucleotide ribosomal RNA is filed under the name uncultured bacterium. Its description in RNAcentral is "partial 16S ribosomal RNA". It matches the Rfam family "Bacterial small subunit ribosomal RNA", at positions 28 to 507 of the family's 1533-position model. The record is from RNAcentral.
GAUGAACGCUGGCGGCGUGCCUAAUACAUGCCAGUCGAGCGAACGGACGAGAAGCUUGCUUCUCUGAUGUUAGCGGCGGACGGGUGAGUAACACGUGGAUAACCUACCUAUAAGACUGGGAUAACUUCGGGAAACCGGAGCUAAUACCGGAUGAUAUUUUGAACCGCAUGGUUCAAAAGUGAAAGACGGUCUUGCUGUCACUUAUAGAUGGAUCCGCGCUGCAUUAGCUAGUUGGUAAGGUAACGGCUUACCAAGGCAACGAUGCAUAGCCGACCUGAGAGGGUGAUCGGCCACACGGGAACUGAGACACGGUCCAGACUCCUACGGGAGGCAGCAGUAGGGAAUCUUCCGCAAUGGGCGAAAGCCUGACGGAGCAACGCCGCGUGAGUGAUGAAGGUCUUCGGAUCGUAAAACUCUGUUAUUAGGGAAGAACAUAUGUGUAAGUAACUGUGCACAUCUUGACGGUACCUAAUCAGAAAGCCACGGCUAACUACGUG